RNAcentral lists this ribosomal RNA (253 nucleotides) under uncultured bacterium. RNAcentral describes it as "partial 16S ribosomal RNA". It matches the Rfam family "Bacterial small subunit ribosomal RNA", at positions 524 to 776 of the family's 1533-position model. The record is from RNAcentral.
UACGAACUGUGCGAACGUUAUUCGGAAUCACUGGGCUUACAGGGUGCGUAGGCGGCUUAGCAAGUCAGGUGUGAAAUCCCCAGGCUCAACCUGGGAACUGCGUCCGAUACUGGAUGGCUUGAAUCCGGGAGAGGGAUGCAGAAUUCCAGGUGUAGCGGUGAAAUGCGUAGAUAUCUGGAGGAAUACCGGUGGCGAAGGCGGCAUCCUGGACCGGCAUUGACGCUGAGGAGCGAAAGCCAGGGGAGCAAACGGG